Non-coding RNA from Penaeus vannamei (Pacific white shrimp), 2857 nucleotides. The record is from RefSeq and is a predicted model, not a curated record. NCBI's taxonomy places the organism in Eukaryota, Metazoa, Arthropoda, Malacostraca, Decapoda, Penaeidae.
CCACGUGGGUUCUGGACUCUCGUGGUUCUGAGUCCGUGGCUGUGAUUUGUUUUAUUAAACCGUGACUGGGUUUAGUGGAAGUACUUCGGGCAGCGACACUUAAGCCUACAACAGUGACCUCUCGGGAGCAGAACGGUAACACGGAUGCGUUACAUAAGGUCGAAACACAUAGCCAAGAACGUCAGCCUCUCCAUCGUCCGACACGUGUCCACCAUGAAGACGUUAGCAUUGACCAAAAUCCUAUUUCUCCUUCACAUCGCCCUUGUCUGCGGGGCGCCCUUCAUUGCCAAGCGGUACAGGAAGACCCAACAGGAGGACCAGAACUACUGGAACAACCUGGCCCAGAACGAGCUGAAGCGAGCCCUGGGCGUGGAGAAGAACACCAACGUCGCCAAGAACGUCAUCCUGUUCUUGGGAGACGGCAUGAGCAUCCCGACCCUCACGGCCGCCAGGAUCUACAAGGGGCAACAGCACAAGCGGGGAGGCGAGGAAGGACACCUCACUUUUGAAUCCUUCCAUCACGUGGGGCUCUCCAAGACAUACAACGUCGACAAGCAAGUUCCAGACAGCGCUGGGACUGGCACAGCUUAUCUAACCGGAGUCAAGACGAACUACAAGACCAUUGGCUUCGACGCCUCCAUCAAAUACAAUGACUGCCAGACUAUGUUUGUGUUUGACUUCUACCAGGUGACCCAUGCCACGCCAGCCUCCACCUAUGCCCACGUCGCGAACAGAGACUGGGAGUGUGACGGCGCUAUUUCGGCUGAGGAUAUGCAAAAAUGCCCCGACCUGAAGGACAUCGCGAGACAGCUGAUCGAAGAUGAGCCGGUGAUCAUGGGUGGCGGUUACCAGAACUUCGUCGCCAACGCUACGGACAGACCCAAUGACCCCUUGGACGACCAGUGGGCCAGCUGCAGAAGGAAGGAUGGGCGAGACCUGGUCAAGAGCUGGCUGGAAGGAAAGCAACAGAGUGGAGUCAAGCACCACUUCGUCCGGUCCAAAACAGAACUGAAUGAUGUCGACACUUCGGACACUGAAUAUCUCUUUGCCCUAUUUUCCAACGGCCACGUCCCCUACGAGCACGAGAAGAAGAGCCUGAACCUGGACGUCCGACGCUGGCCGAGAUGACCGAGAAGGCGAUCGAGAUCCUCUCAGCUGGAGACAACGGCUUCUUCUUGCUGGUUGAGGGAGGCCGAAUUGACCACGCCCACACGACACUCUAGCUCACCGCGCCCUUGACGAGGCCGUAGCGAUGGACGAAGCUAUUGAAAAGGCCUUGAACCUCACCAGUGAAGAGGAUACGCUCAUCGUUGUCACCGCCGACCACGCUCACACCAUGUCUAUCAGUGGCUAUCCCAGUCGUGGACAGGAAAUUAUUGGUCUCGCCGCUCUGGGUGACGACGGCCUGCCCUACACCACGCUCAUGUACGCGAACGGCCCCGGGUACAACUACACCGUCAAGGAGGAUGAGAACGAGCAGCAUCUCGUCUCCCGCUGGAACAUCACACAGGAAGUGGCCACAGGAUGGGACUACACUCAGCUGGCGGCCGUACCCAGGAACUCAGAGACACACGGUGGCGAUGAUGUUGCUAUUUAUGCUAACGGUCCCAUGGCUCACCUUUUCCACACUCUUCACGAGCAGAACUACAUUGCCCACGCCAUGGCAUAUGCAGCUUGUAUUGGAGCUAAUCAAGACCAUUGCAAGGGUGCAAGCACCAUGUAUCCUGGAACACCUACUGUUGGUAAAACAACUGAUUAUAUUGAAACAACUACUGCGGGAGGAUCAACUUUAGCUGCUCUACCUGGUGUGGUUCUCGCGCUGCUCUCUGCCUUGUGGUUACAGCACUGAGUGCGUCGCUAUCCCUUCAUGCUUAUCAAAUUAGAAUAUGUGGUUUUAUCUUCCAAAUACUUUAAACAAAUUGGUAGUUUCGAGACCAAUGACAGCAGCUAAGUGAAAGAAUGUGAAAUUUCAAGACCAAUGACAGCAGCUAGUUGAUAUAACUGAUUAAUUCCUACAUCAGAUUGACAAACUUAGGGCACUAGUUAUGAGAAGCACUGCAUUUACACUUAUUUUACAUUUCUUGUUCAGAAGAAAUUGAAUAAGCUAGUAUGUGAUUUCCGGUAUGAAUUAUCUGACAAUUUUAAAUUAAAGAACUUAUGUCAGUAUUUUCUCUAUAUUUUUAUAUGUAUGGGAAUGUCUUUGUCCAUUCUUGUUGCAUAGCAGCUGGAUAUUAUGCAUUUCUAACUAAGGUACAAGUGUCAAGUAUCCAAUGGUGCUACCGAGGGGCCAAAUACUUAGUAAGAUAACAAGACUGGUGCUACUAUCUUUAAAGCUUGAGUGAUACAAUGGUUUCUGUGAAAUUUAGUGUCUCAGGUAUUACUUUGCAAGAGUUAUGCUAGCUUGUGAAGAAUCACAAGGAAAAUAUUUGGUUACAUGAAUUAAAUGUUUGUGGGUGGUAUGAAUGUGGCUGAUUAUGUAAAAUCUAUUGGCACAUUAUUAUUACCACCAAAACUUUAAAUUUCUGUAACUGGAAAGAGUAAAAGGUAGCUGUGAAAAUACUUGAUUGACAUUUAAUAAUAUAUUUGUACAUUCUGUUCAUCCUUGAUGCUUUAUGUGGAGAUGUUUGUUGACAGGUAAAACCAAGUAGUAUUUAAACAAUAUCCUGACAUCACAUCAAUGGAUCACUGCUUUCAUUAGUUUCAACCAACAUAGAUAUUUAUUCAUUGUCACAUCAUUUUGAUCCUUUGAAUGCUAUUUUCCAGAUGAAAUACUAGGAUAUUUGCAUAUAUGUAAUUAAUUAUAAUAUAUAUAUAUAUAUAUUUUGUCAACGUGAUCUAAAUAAAAUAUUGAUAAAAA